This 444-nucleotide ribosomal RNA is filed under the name uncultured bacterium. RNAcentral describes it as "bacterial SSU rRNA". It matches the Rfam family "Bacterial small subunit ribosomal RNA", at positions 30 to 473 of the family's 1533-position model. The record is from RNAcentral.
AUUGAACGCUGGCGGAAUGCUUUACACAUGCAAGUCGAACGGCAGCACGGACUUCGGUCUGGUGGCGAGUGGCGAACGGGUGAGUAAUAUAUCGGAACGUGCCCAGUCGUGGGGGAUAACGUAGUGAAAUUACGCUAAUACCGCAUACGAUCUAAGGAUGAAGACGGGGGAGUCGCAAGACCUCGCGCGAUUGGAGCGGCCGAUAUCAGAUUAGGUAGUUGGUGAGGUAAAGGCUCACCAAGCCAACGAUCUGUAGCUGGUCUGAGAGGACGACCAGCCACACUGGGACUGAGACACGGCCCAGACUCCUACGGGAGGCAGCAGUGGGGAAGUUUUGGACAAUGGGCGCAAGCCUGAUCCAGCAAUGCCGCGUGCAGGACGAAGGCCUUCGGGUUGUAACUAGCUUUGUUACGGAGGCGAAAAGGCUCUCUCUAAUACAGGGAG